RNAcentral lists this ribosomal RNA (565 nucleotides) under uncultured Ascomycota. Its description in RNAcentral is "LSU rRNA". It matches the Rfam family "Eukaryotic large subunit ribosomal RNA", at positions 667 to 1235 of the family's 3401-position model. Lineage: Eukaryota; Fungi; Ascomycota. The record is from RNAcentral.
CAAGGAGUUCUAACAUCUGUGCGUGUGUUUGGGUGUCAAACCCGUACGCGUAAUGAAAGUGAACGGAGGCGGGAACCUCUCGGGGUGCACCGUCGACCGAUCCUGAUGUCUUCGGAUGGAUUUGAGUAAGAGCAUAGCUGUUGGGACCCGAAAGAUGGUGAACUAUGCCUGAAUAGGGUGAAGCCAGAGGAAACUCUGGUGGAGGCUCGCAGCGGUUCUGACGUGCAAAUCGAUCGUCAAAUUUGGGCAUAGGGGCGAAAGACUAAUCGAACUAUCUAGUAGCUGGUUCCUGCCGAAGUUUCCCUCAGGAUAGCAGUAACGUUUUCAGUUUUAUGAGGUAAAGCGAAUGAUUAGAGGCCUGGGGGUUGAAACAACCUUCACCUAUUCUCAAACUUUAAAUAUGUAAGAAGUCCUUGUUGCUUAGUUGAACGUGGACAUUUGAAUGUAUCGUUACUAGUGGGCCAUUUUUGGUAAGCAGAACUGGCGAUGCGGGAUGAACCGAACGCGGAGUUAAGGUGCCGGAAUGCACGCCCAUCAGACACCACAAAAGGUGUUGGUUCAUCUG